AGGUCAACAAACAAGAGUUUUUGAAGAAACAUCCACUGCAUCAAAAAAGCAUUCAUGAUUUCAAAUUUACAAGAAGAAAAAAUAAUAAGAAAAGAAAAAGGAAGACAUCUGUCUUACAGUACUCUGAACCUACAAUCAAACAGUUAAUUUACAAGAAGAAAAUGGACAAACUGUCUCCUGUAAAUCAACUGAAUAUAGCUUCAGAGAAGGUGACAGGCUGGGGAUACAAGGAGCAAGUUUACAUUCCAUGUUUUCUUGGCUUUCAACCUGAAACAUGUGCAGCUCUAGUGAUAAACUUCUUAGUCAAAUUAUUACUAGACCAAGAAAAUCACCAAAUGCACCAAUCCCUUUCGCCAUCCUAUUUUGCAACAUCAAGAAGUUAUUUUCCAGACGAUCAGCAGUCAGCCUUACAGCUAAAUCAAAAAUUUCCUAUGCUGCAAACUGUCUACUCUUCCAUUUCUUAUUCUUAUCAGACCACUGAUUCCCGCGGACAUUUCUCUUCCAUGUCCUCAGUCUCUCCAGCUUCUUCUCUUUUAAUGUCCCAAAUUCCUUAUCAUUCACAACAUCCUCCUUCUUCAUCUCCAGUAUCUCCAAAUGCUUUUCCAACUCAUCAUUAUUCUCCUGAAUUUAAUCCUGAACAGCCUACAAAAAACUUCUGUUGCUUCACAUCUCCAGUAUAAUUCUCAUAUUUCUUCAUUCGUUCAGUUUGCAUUCUGGGUA
Erpetoichthys calabaricus (reedfish) is the source of this 720-nucleotide long non-coding RNA. RefSeq lists it as uncharacterized. The record is from RefSeq and is a predicted model, not a curated record. The transcript has 3 exons. Lineage: Eukaryota; Metazoa; Chordata; Cladistia; Polypteriformes; Polypteridae.